CGCCAUUGGUGUGCCUGAGCCUUUGUCUGUGUUCGUCGACUCCUACGGCACCGGCAAGAUCCCCGACAGGGAGAUCCUCAAGCUCGUGAAGGAGAACUUUGACUUCAGGCCCGGGAUGAUCAGCAUCAACCUGGACUUGAAGAAAGGUGGAAACAGGUUCAUCAAGACUGCUGCUUAUGGUCACUUUGGCCGCGAUGAUGCUGACUUCACCUGGGAGGUGGUGAAGCCCCUCAAGUUCGACAAGGCAUCUGCCUAAGAGCAUGGCAUUCUCUUGGUCUGCCGCCUCUCAAGUUCGUCAAGACGGGAUCAUGUUGCUCCUGGGAAGUGAGAAGAAGCAUUAGACAUUGAAGCGACGCUCUACACUGGUCUUGUUGUAUGGUAGUCAGUGCUAAGUUUCUUACUGUCAUUUCAUAUAUUUAUCCUUUCCAUUUUGAGUCGCUGAAACUGCUGAGUGAUGUGCAGUUUGCUCUGUUAGUCGCUCUGUCACUUUCACUUUUCAUAUUCUUUGUUGUGUAGUUCCCUCAUAAUGCUCUUUCUUCCUGAGUCUCGGAAAGAAUAAUAAAGAGCCAUGUGUAAUUCUAUUGCUCCGUUCUCCCCAAAUUUUGUCAUUAUUUUAAGCAGUACUAAUUGAGAUACUAUCCAAGGUUUUGAAUCAUGGUUUUGUCCAAUUGGUGUAAGCCCAACUUAAGCAAAAGUGGUUUCAUGAGAUCUGAACUGCGAAAAUAAUACUCCCUCCAUUCCUAAAUAUAGGGUGUAUAGUUUUUGGCACGGAAAUUAAAGAACACAUAUGGAGGGAAAAUUUCACAAGCUUUGGGCGACAUUACACAUGACUAAUUGACAUGAGAAAAUAGAGGAGCUUGCGUGAUAUAAGGAAAUGUAAACAAAUCCCUCAAAAAUUUAUCCAAACGAGUGGUGCAGUGCAAUACACCUUAUAUUUCGGAAUUUUUCUCAAAAAUCUAUACACCUUAUAUCAAGGAACGGAGGGAGUAUUGAUUCACUGGACUCUGUUCUUGGCCCACACUGGGGCUCAAGAAUCAUAUCAGCAUUGAUUGGGUUUGGUGUAAACUACAAGGAUGAUCGGGCGCGCUUCGCUGCAAGGUUGGUGUCGUUGAGAAUUCAUAAAUAAAAGUCUUUCGUUUGCUGUGUGGAGAUGAAGAAGUGUUUUUUUAGAACCGAAGUGUUUUUUGUUUAUAAUGAAGUAUUUUGAUGGUCUCUUUCUGGUGUAUAAUUAUGUGUUAUUUGCAAAUUAACCCACACAUAUGCAGGAAAGUUUUUUGCAGUGGUGUUACAGUGUCGCAUGUUGAUGCUAGACUGAUUUAUUUUCAUAAGCUGGUUGUUAUGAAUUGAUUUGAGAGAUCAUUGACCAAUCAAAAUCAUGAAUCAAAUUCAAAAUUAAAUACCUCACUUGAAUGAGGGAGCUUCUUGAGAAAUUGUUGACCAAGACAAAAUUGGGAACUCAAUCCAAAAUCAUAUUGGUGCUACAAAGAGUGUCUGCGAGGCUAAUGUAUUUUUAUACUUCUAAGGACCAUUUUUAUCUUGGUACUCAUACUAAAAUGGUUGUAUGCAUCCUUAGUUGGUGCAGAGGCCGGAAAGUGAAAAUCUCUCUCAUUUUCUAGGUCGAGGUAGACACAAGCCGCCCCACGCGUCGCCCCCACGGGCGACCCGAGGGGAACCCUAGCCGCCCUACCUCUUGGCCUCCUCCGCUUCCCCCCCCUCCUCGCUGUCGUCCGCAGCGCCGCCGGGCGAAGCCUGGCCGGCAGGGCGGCGGCUGGGCUUCUCCUCACCUCUUCCGUCACGGCUGGCGCGGGGCAACGAGAUCGGGAGGUGCAUCGGGCGAGCGCCGGGUCCAGCGGCGCGGCGGGCGGGUCUCCAGGCGAUGCCUGCACGGCGCGGUGACGACGGCAUGCUUGUGGUGAAGUGGUGGCUGCGUUGGAUUUGACCGGUGGUCGCAGGUGCCGCCGGAUCCAUAUCAGAUCCAUCUAGAUUCUGUCUUUGGAAUCGGUCGGCCGCCGCGAGGUGGUGGUGGUCGUCGUUGACCACGUCGGAUCGCUGGAUUCGGCGUCUGGAGUUCUACAUUGGGUUCUUCUCUGUCCUCCUUCCUGGUGGGCUGAACCCCAUGGCUCUUUCAUCUCUGCAGGUUUUGGUUCAUGGCAAUUGCCGGAUCCGGAGCAGACGGAGGUUUGGUGGUAUAGGAUGGGACCGGAGAAAACUUUGGUCGGCUUGUUCGACCCGGCAUCGACGACAUCACUCCAUGUUGUUAUCCUCCUUAGAGGCGAAGCCGAGGUCUGUCCUAUCCACUCCCGAAUCCCUCCAGGACGAAAGUCCAAAAUCCAGUGUGGAUUGGGCGGUGGCGGCGUCCUGCACGUCGUAUUCUCCAUGGAGGCGCCGUCUGGGGAGGACCUCGUAUUCAGAGGCGGGAUGCUGCGGGUGGUGGGGCUCCGCGUAGCUCUAGCAGUGCCGACGGUGUGGUGGUUACCAGGUGGUGCGACGUUGCAUCUACCGUGUUGAUGACGACGAGUUUUGGCGACAUGGUGCAUGUGAAUAUCGUCGACGGAUGCGGCUGGAUGGUCGAGCGCAGGGCGGUGACGCUGUUUGACGUCAUGGUGGCGUCGACUGCAGGCUAACAAGGUUUGCGUCAGUCCCUGCUAUGGAGAUGGAUCGUUGGAAGACGGCGGUGGCGGGUUCAGUGAGUGCGCCGGAUCGGUGUGUGACCCAGUCCCGGUAUGUGGCUAGGAUGGGGUAUCCGGCUUUAGAUGUUAGAUUUUAGUGUGACGUCUGUUUGGUAUUAGGCUCGGACAUUCGGCACCACUAAAUAAAGGCGAUAGAAGUAGCGACACAUGUUGCUAAGAUGGUGGCUCCAGGCUUACUAAUGCACUACAUUAUAAAGUCUUUGUGAAUAAUUAAUAAAAUGGCCGCAUGCAUUGUCCAGAUGCAGAGGCCGGUGGUUUACCGAUUGAUUUGAGAAAUCAUUGACCGGUCCAAAUCCUGAACUAAAUUUAAAAUUAAACACUUCAUUUGAAUGAGAGAACUUCUAAAAAUAUUAUUGACCAAGUCAAAAUUGGGAACCCAAUAAAAAACCAAUGUCCUCGAUUGAAUGGGAGGCCUUUAACCCUAGGAAGAUUGAUAUAGUAGAGUUUGUUCGGAAAACUAUUGAGUUGAUGCUUCCUACUAAUGGUUUUCCUAGAGAACGCUCUUUAGUACGUCUAAUUCUUGUGUGCAAAUCACUGACGCAUAUGUCAAUCCCUAUUAGCUUCAAUGCAUCAUUUUGAGCGUAUGACACUGAAUGUUUGUUCACGCCCCUGUCUUAUCCCUUAACCUCGCAUCAAAAUCACAGCCAGAUGAAAAAAUUUGCAUCGAAGCAUGGCAAUUUUCAAUAGUCUAUCUGAUAGUCCUUAUCGAAAAUCUGGCAUGACAAUGUGGUUCUGUCAGCAUGGCAAUUCCUGAAGACGUAGGCAAAAUUUAUUUUCAUAUAGCAUGGCAAUUCUCUUAUGGAGCAUUGCAAGCCUAUCUGAUAUAGCAUGAAAAUUCAUGAACAUGUGUGGCAAAUUUUCUUUUCUUUUUAGCCUGACAUUUUCUAUGUUGCACCAUGAUAAAUUGCUAAAACACACGUCAAUUUACUUUGCUGCAACAUGACAAAUUCCUAAUAAUUUUUUCUGCUAGCAUGGCAUUUUUUUUCCUUUUCAGCGUGGAAGAACUUUCUGUAAGUUAGAAGUGCACUUUCUCGUGAUGUUGUUUGCUCAAACGAGCCUCCUAUACAGAACGUUCGUUCGCUCAGAUGACCUCCUGAGAAAACAUCAAUGCAAUAUUGAUGUUCAUUUAAUUUGUCUUUUUAUAGCAAUCCUAGNNNNNNNNNNNNNNNNNNNNNNNNNNNNNNNNNNNNNNNNNNNNNNNNNNNNNNNNNNNNNNNNNNNNNNNNNNNNNNNNNNNNNNNNNNNNNNNNNNNNNNNNNNNNNNNNNNNNNNNNNNNNNNNNNNNNNNNNNNNNNNNNNNNNNNNNNNNNNNNNNNNNNNNNNNNNNNNNNNNNNNNNNNNNNNNNNNNNNNNNNNNNNNNNNNNNNNNNNNNNNNNNNNNNNNNNNNNNNNNNNNNNNNNNNNNNNNNNNNUCUAGGCGCUUGACGGAUACUCCUCAUAUCCGAAGGAGGACGGUGCUCCCUCCGCUGCCCCUCCCCCGCCAUCCCGCCCGCGAGGGCAAUCUAAGAUAAGAAAAUUUGCUCCGAGGGUCGUGGUCAUGUGGUGGCCUUGUCGGCGGCGGAUGUAGGGUGGCAUGUCGUGCGGCGGCGCAACCAUAGAUCUGGUCGGUGCGAAUGGCCGCUGGGUCUCUCUCCCCUCCUCCCUGAUCAGGUUUUGUUGUCGUCGAGCUCAUCGCCUUCCCCUUUGCCUGUGGUCUCGUCUUCAUCGCCUGUGCUGCCGUCGGGAUGACAGCCUGGGGCGCUGAGAUCUGGUGCCUCGUCCCCGCCCGUGGUUGGUAGGGCGGAGAUGGCGCUUGCGUCGGGUAGGGAAACCCUAGGGCCAGAUGCCUUGUCGAGGCUGGCCCUAGUGGUGGACCUGGUUACAGGCCGGGGGCCCAAUGGGUCGGUUAGUGCGUCGGAGCUAAGCUUGUCAUCUAAUUUAAUUCCCCCUUGAUCCCCUCUGGCUGGUUAAGUCGAGUGGGCCUCCUUUUGGGCUUGUUUGCCAGCCCACUGUCGGUGUCAAAAUCGGCAGAUCUCGUGUAGGGGGGCCCAAGCUGUGAGUCUAAGGAUCAAUGGUAACAAGGGACAAUGGGGACACGAUGUUUACCCAGGUUCGGGCCCUCUUAAAGGAGGUAAAACCAUACAUCUUGCUUGAUUGUAUUCAAUGAGUAUAGGGGUUACAAGAGUUGAUCUACCUCGAGAUCGUAAUGGCUAAAUGUAGGAUCUUGAAGUAUGUAUAGAGGGGGGGGGGUGAUUAGACUAUUUGACCAAUUAAAAACUUAACCUUUUCCCAAUUUUAGUCUUUGGCAGAUUUUAGCUAUCUUAGCACAAGUCAAGCAAUCUUCACACAAUUCAAGCAAGCAUGCAAAGAGUAUAUGAGCAGCGGAAAUUAAAGCAUGCAACUUGCAAGAAUGUAAAGGGAAGGGUUUGGAGAUUUCAAACGCAGUUUAGAGACAUGGUGAUUUUUGAGCCGUGGUUCCGAUAGGUGGUGCUAUCAUACAUCCACGUUGAUGGAGACUUCAACCCACGAAGGGUAACGGUUGCGCGAGUCCACGGAGGGCUCCACCCAAGAAGGGUCCACGAAGAAGCAACCUUGUCUAUCCCACCAUGUCCGUCGCCCAUGAAGGACUUGCCUCACUAGCGGUAGAUCUUCACGAAGUAGGCGAUCUCCUUGCCCUUACAAACUCCUUGGUUCAACUUCACAAUCUAGUCGGAGGCUCCGAAGUGACACCUAGCCAAUCUAGGAGAUACCACUCUCCAAGAAGUAACAAAUGGUGUGUUGAUGAUGAACUCCUUGCUCUUGUGCUUCAAAUGAUAGUCUCCUCAACACUCAACUCUCUCUCACAGGAUUUGGAUCUGGUGGAAAGAAUAUUUGAGUGGAAAGCAACUUGGGGAAGGCUAGAGAUCAAGAUUCAUAUGGUAGGAAUGGAAUAUCUUGGCCUCAACACAUGAGUAGGUUGUUCUCUCUCAGAAAUGGUAAGUUGGAAGUGUAGGUUUGUUCUGAUGGCUCUCUCCACGAAUGAAGAGGAGGUGGAGGGGUAUAUAUAGCCUCCACACAAAAUCUAACCGUUACACACAAUUUACCAAUCUCGGUGGGACCGAAUCAACAAACUCGGUCGGACCGAUUUAGUAAACCUAGUGACCGUUAGUGAUUUUGAUGGGACCGACAUGCAACUCGGUAGGACCGAUAUGGUUAGGGUUAGGGCAUAACUUAAUCUCGGUGAGACCGAUUACACAAACUCGGUGGGACCGAUUUUGGUAAUAAGCUAACAAGAGAAUUGGUCACGUAAACUCGGUGGGACCGAUUUGCUCUUUUCGGUGGGACUGAAAUGUUAUAAAAAGGAAACAGAGAGUUUACAUUGCAAUCUCGGUGGGACCGAUCGCUCACUUCGGUUAGACCGAAACGUUACGAAGGGAAACAUAGAGAUUACAAUCCCAUCUCGGUGAGACCGAGAUCCCUAUCGGUGAGACCGAUUUGCCUAGGGUUUGUGGCAGUGGCUAUGACAUCUGAACUCGAUGGCGCCGGAUAGAAAGAAUCGGUGGGGCCGAGUUUGACUUUAGGUUUGGGUCAUAUGUGGAUAUGAGAAAGUAGUUGAGGGUUUUUUGGAGCAUAUCACUAAGCACUUAAAGCAAGAAACUCAUCAAGCAACACCUCAUCCCUCCUUGAUAGUAUCGGCUUUUCCUAUAGACUCAAUGUGAUCUUGGAUCACUAAAAUAUAAAAUGUAGAGUCUUGAGAUUUUGAGCUUGAGCCAAUCCUUUUAUCCUUGGUAUUUUGAGGGAUCCACUUUCCUCAUCCAUGCCAUGCCAUUCAUUGAGCUUUUCCUGAAAUAUUUGCCUUAGAAUAGUAUUAGCUCAAUGAGCUACAUGUUGUUAGGAAUUACCAAAACCACCUAGGGAUAGUUGCACUUUCAAUCUCCCCCUUUUUGGUAAUUGAUGACAACAUAUAGAUCAAAGCUUUGACAAAUGAUAAUAAGAUUGAAAAACAUCGUCGCUUUGAGAAGUAUGUGAUAAGCAAGAGCUCCCCCUAAAUUUGUGCAUAGUUUAAGAUUUGCUUUGGAGUGCAAAUGCACAAGGAGUUAGGCUCAUGGGUUACUCUUCCAUGUCACAUACAUCUUGGUGGAGCGCUCAAAAUAAUAAAGAUUGAAUACAUGCACUCAUCACCAAGCAAAGUGAAUGAUCAUAUAAAGAUAAAUGGGAUAAUGUCAUCUAACAAUCAUAAAUGUAGCACAUGAUCAAACACAUGAUUAUUAUUGUAUCACAUAGACAAUAACGUAGUAUCUCAAGCAAGCAAAAGCAAAUAAAGUUCAACCACGAAGACAAGAGAGAACAAAAGCAAACUCUCUCUCUUGAAGCCUAUGAUCUAUACAUUUUUCUCCCCCUUUGGCAACAAGUUACCAAAAAGUUCCUAGAAAAUGCAUAGUACUAUUUCGUCUCUCAGGCUUGAUCUUCAGGUGGUGGUGUAGAGAUGGCUCCUUGGACGAAGACUUCAGUUGAUGUGGAUAGAUCUGGAGGAGUUGGUGCUGGAGCUGGUUACACUGGAGCUAUAGCUGGUGCAGAUGAAGUGGCUCUGGUGUCUGUCACAAGCUCUGCAACUGAUCUCUGAGCUCGAGGCACUCUAGGAAAUGCAUCAGUGGUUGUCCUGCCCUUCCUCUCAUGCAUGUCAUCCUGUAGCUGCUCCACAAUUGACUGGAUCUCAGUUACUUUCACAUCUAGGUCAUAGAACUUUUGUUCCAUGAUUCUUUCCAGGCUCUCCUGGUUUUGAGUUAGGGUGGCCAACCCUUUCUCAAUCCUCAGAGUUGAUGCUAUUAAGUAACCAAGCUAGUCUUGCUUGCUCUUCAAAAAGUACUCAGAUGCCUCCUCUAAAGUUGGCAUCUUGGCAGCCUUCUCCUUCUUUGCCUUCUCCUUCUUCUCUUGAGCUUGCACUGAGGAUGGUUCAUUCUCAUUCAUGACAACUUGAUUGUCCUCAAAAUCUGGAUAGAUAGUAAAGUGUUCCUUAUCCAACAAGUAUUUUCCUGUGCCCAUCUUGGAGUUGAUCAGCUCCUAGAUUUGUGGGGCAUACCCACAACUUCUCUUCUGGUCUGCUGCUGUACUCUUGAUAGUCUCAACUAUGAGGCUCAUGACCUUGAAUUUCUGUGACACAUCAAAUAUGUGUAGCAAAUUUAUUGCAUGCCCUCUUAUCAUGUUGUGGUCACCUGACUUGGGCAAGAGAGUGUGCCUUAGGAUCCAGUUGAUCGUUGGCAGCCCUGACAGAAGAAAAUGGACAGACCCAAACUUGAAAGUCUCAAGUGCCUUGUCUGGGAUAUCCUUGUACAUGUGUGACAUAGAUUUGUGAUCCUUCUUCUUCUUGGAGUAGACAUCCAAGUCAUCUUCACUCUCCUCUGGUGCAUUGAUCUGUUCAGCCCAUUCUUCAAUAGUGGAUUGGUACCUUGUACCUUCAGACAUCCAGACUAUUCUGCCAUCAGGAUAAAAGUGAGUUGUGGAGUAGAAUUGCAUUACUAGCUCAUCAUUCCAGUUUGUGAACUUCUGUCCAGCAAACUCAUCAACUCCACAAGCCUUAAAACUGUCAAACACUCUUGGGUAGUGAUCCUCAUUUUCCUUCAUGUAUUUCCAGUCUACCCACCUCAUGUCACAAACUAUGGGCUUCUUAUCCAACAACACAGUCUCAUAAAAAUCCUGUUGUUCCUUAGUGUGGAACCUGUAAUCAACAGCAGUCCUCCUUCUGAUUGCAUAGGGAUCAGACAAUCUCCACUGCCUGAGCCCUGCAUCCUUCCUCAGCUUCAUGUUCUCAGCCACUGGAUGAGCAUCAUUGUGGUCUAGAGUCUUGGGUUUCAGCUUCCUCAGAACUUGUCCUUCAUCUUCUUCCUCAGCAGCAACUUCAGGCACUGGGGCCUUGUUCUUCUCGGCAGCUGGUAUGCUCCUGGUAUUCCUUUUAGGUGCAGACUUGGCCUUAGAGGUAGCUUUGGGUGCUUCUUUGGGCUUUGAUGUUGCAGCCCCUGACCUUAUAGCAUCACCCAUAAGCUUUUGUGCCUUGGGUGCUGGUGCAGGUGCAGCAACCUCUUCUUCCUCCUCCUCUUCCAUCAUGGAAGGUUGUCCAACAACUCUGGCCAUGGUCUUCUUGACCCUUUCCUUCCUCUUCUUUCCUUCUGCAGCAACCUCUUUGGGAUCAAGUUUCUCAGGUUCUUGAGUUGAUCCUCUAACCUUCAGCAUAGGUGUCCUCUUGGCAGGGACCUUCCUGUUUAGUCCAGGCUUUGUGGUCUUAGCUAAGCCAUACUCCUUUUUGAGCACUAUCUUCUUGGAAGUAGCCUCAUCUUCAGGUGCCACAUAUUCUUCAUCCUCAGAGUCGGAGGUUCUCUUCCUUCUGGUCCUUGUGGCUGCUUUGGGCAAAUUGCUAGGAGUGCUCCUGCUGCCCUCAUCUGAGGUGCUAGAGGGACUAGUGCCCUCACUCAUGUGAAUCUGCUCCUCUUCCCUGUUCUGGCUGUCACUUUGGUCUGACAUGCUGCAAACACUGACUGCUGACCCUGUGAAUAGAUGUAGUUGAGAUAGAAUGGAUGAGCAUCACAAAAUGCAGAGGUUUUUGCAAAAGAGUGAUUCAAAAACUUAGUUUUAGUUUUCCACAGAAAGCAUUUCAGAUCAACCGAUUUGCAAAAUCGGUGAUACCGAAGCAGCUUUUGGAACCUAAACUAGUGAACUCAGUCAAACUGAGUCACAGUUCCGUGGCACCGAGACUGCUAGGGUUUUACAGAGUUCUAAAAUCGGUCACACCGAUUCGCAAUUCUUGGUCAGACCGAGAAUCACUUAUGCAAUGGCCUCAGUCGAAUUGGUGGAACCGAGUUUUUCAACUCGGUGGGUCCGAGAUGGUUUCGGCGGAAACCUAACCCUAAUUUUUCAAUUCACAUCUAAUCUAAGGAUUGUUUUGACUAGAUAGAUGCGUUUCAAUCGCGUCAAGAAUUAUAAUGAACACAAUGUGCUAGGAAUCGGACGGGGAUAGCACUGUGAUCGAGUCCAUACCCUAGUUUGGCAAUGAACUCACUAUGGCGGCAACGGCGGGGAUGAAUUCCGUUGAUGGCGGCGGAGACAGCGACUGGAGGCGGCUGGCGACGAAGUCGACAAUCCGGAGACCUUGGAGGCAGAGCGAGCUAUGCGCGGGCGAAGAGGUUUGGAGAAGGUUUCCAAAUUUUUGCCCGUGAGUAUAUAUAGCCCGACCCUAUCGGUGUGACCGAGUGGAACAACUCGGUGGCACCGAGAUGCAUAACUGUUGACAGUUACAGCAACUCGGUGAGACCGAAAAGUUCAAAUCGGUUGCACCGAGAUUGAAAACCUAGAUCGACUUAGUGAUCUCGGUAUGACCAAAAUGGAAGAAUUGGUCAGACCGAAACACACAAAGAAGUUUUGGAAGUUUAAGUCCAUGACGAAUCGGGGACUCCGAGUGCUCCUCACACAGAGUGGUUUGAAUCUGACUUGAUCAAAUUUUGUGAUGUAGCAUGAAUAGAGUUUGAGACAAGAAAAGCAUAGAUAGCUAGAGAAGGUUCUUAGGCAUUCUUGUUCAUCCACUUGGCAAAAGAAAAAGAAGCCAAUCAAUCAAAGCAACAAGUGGAUGUCCUCGAAUGAGUUAAAUAUGCAACCAAAAUGCUCACACAAUAAAAUGGCAAAUGAAAUAUGUGGCAAAGCAUGCACAACCAAUUCUAGCAUCUAUCAAGCAAUUGGGGAUGACUAGGUCAUCUAUAUAUGAGUAUAUUGACUUAGGAGUCAAAUGAGAACAUUUGAUCAUAGGUCAUACUCAUCGUUUAAGCUCAAGUGGGGUUACCACUUUUACAUAAUGCAUUGAUGUGUUCACAUCAUUAGAGUUGCUUUGACUCAAUUCUUAGAGUUAAGCUCCCCCUAGAUGUGAGAUCCCCCCUAAGAGGGAUGAACUAACCUUGGGUUUUGUCGAUGAUGACUUCAUGUAGGUGUUGAAGAUGUGGAUGCUCAAUGUUGGUGAAGAUCAUUUGGAGCAAUCCUUUGGAGUGAGUUGCACUUUCAAUACCUACACGGGUUAGUCCCACAAGGAACAAACAAGUAUAUCCAUACACAUAGAGUGAUGCACACACAAGAUGAUGUCCAUGAAAACAUUAGGUUACCUUGUCCCUUGUCUUACCAACAAGAGGGUUUGUGACUCCUUGAACUAGUGCAAGAUGUCGAAGUUGAUUGCACUUGUCCUUGCCAUAAUGAUAUGAGUGAAGAAUGUUGGCGGAGUCACCCUCAAGAACUCUCUAGUUCUUCUUCUUCGGGAUCCACAUCAUCUUGAUGGGAAUCCUUGGAGUUGUAGUCGUGCUUGAUGAAGUAGAACUUGACGUAGUCUUGGGAACCCACUUGACCAAGGUCUUAGGAGCUUCUUCAAAUGCAUCAAUCUCCUCUUGAAGCUUGUCCUUGCCUUUGUGCUUGUGGUCUUGUGGUGGAAGAUCAUCUUGAGCAUGUGUCCCCUUGAAGGAAGUAGGAUCAUACUUCCCUUGUUGAGGAACAAACUUCGUCUUGGGAUAUUGAUCUUAUUCCCACUCAACUCCAUUGGCAUUGAACUUUCGUUCAAAACCAACACCUUGGUUCUUACGGUGCCUUCCUUGCUUGUGUACAAUUUCCUCGAAUUGCUUACUCCCGGCAAGGCUCUUGUAUACACCUUUCUCUAUAAUUCCCUUCAAUAAGCUAUUUUCUUGCUCAAGUGUAACUUGGCUAAGAGAAUCAUUAGUGGAAUCAAAAUCAAGAGAACUACUAGAAGCAACAAUAUUGGAUUUAGCAUGAUUAUUGUUACUACUAGAGGAAGAAUCCUUCUUGUUCUUGUUAUUAGACUUGACUUGAGGCAUGUAAGUAGAUAAGAGUAAACGCUUGGCAAUGUAAGAAGAACUUUUGUUACGGAGAUCAUCAUUGAUUGCCUUUAAGAACUCAUGCUCUUGCUCAAGGUUGAGCUUUUCAAAGCGUAGCUUCUCAUGAGCCCUUAAAAGUUCUCGAUGAUCUUCUAAGAUAGUUUCUUUAGCUAACUUAAGAGUGUUUAGUUCUUUAGCUAGAAGCUCAAUCUUCUCCUUAUCAUUGUCAUUCGUUUUAUCUUGUUUAGCAUGAUUAAUUGACGUUUCAUCAUAGUAUUCAUCACUAGAGUUGUCAACAAGUAAAUCAUCAUCACCUAACAAGUCAUCUUCAUCAGUAUUGAAAUCAACAUACUUGGGGUGUGUUACCUUAGGGCCUUUAGCCAUGAAGCAUCUUCCAAGUCCUUCAUUUGGUGAAUCAAAUAUGCCGUAGGAGUUGGUUAACACAAGUGCUAGACCAGCAACACCUUCAUCUUGAGUAUGUUCGGAGUCGGAGUGAUAGCUUCUCUCGGAGUGAUGUUCAGAGUCAGAACCGGAUACCCAUUCACCAACAUGAGCUUGAUGUCUUCAUUUUGUGUAGCUCUUUGAUGACUUGUCCUUCCUUUCCGAAUCCUUGCUUCUCCGGGAUGUUCUUCGUUCAUAACGAUCAUCUCUACUCCUCCUCUCUAUUGGCGGUGAUUCUUCUCUUCUACUUCUUCUCUUGGGAGAAUCUUCUCUUCUUUUGUAGGGUGUCGUACACUCAUUGGAAUAGUGUUCGAGUCUCCCACAAUUGUAGCAAUUGUGCUCUCGACUGGAAGAUCUUUUGUCAUUGUAGGACCUUGACUUGGAGCUUCUUUCUUUGCUUCUACUCUUGUAGAAUUUGUUGAAGUUCUUCACCAUUAAGCUCAAUUCUUCAUUGAAGGUUUGUUUCUCACUUGAUGAUGUGGGAGCUUCACAUAAGGCUUUGUAAGCACCACUUGACUUGUUAUGAAGUCCCUCCUUAUCCUUGAGUGACAUCUCAUGAGCAACAAUUCUUCCAGUGACUUCCGUUGGCUUGAGAUUCUUGUAGUUGGGCAUCAUUUGGAUCAAUGUGCACAUGGUAUCAUAUUUUCCAUCCAAUGCUCUUAGGAUCUUCUUGAUGAUGAAUCUGUUGGUCAUCUCUUCACUUCCUAAGCCUGCAAUCUCAUUUGUGAUAAGAGCAAGCCUAGAGUACAUUUCAGCGACACCUUCACCAUCAUUCAUUUUGAACUUGUCAAGUUGACUUUGGAGCACAUACAAUUUGGAUUCCUUGACGGAGUCGGUACCUUCAUGCAUAUCAAUCAAAGUAUCCCAGAUUUCCUUUGCAUUCUCAAUACGGCUGAUUUUGUUGAAUUCUUCGGGGCACAAUCUGUUGAAGAGGAUAUCACAAGCUUGAGCAUUGUAUUGCAGCAUCUUCAAUUCAUCUGCGCUAGCUUCAUGGUUCGGUUCUCUCCCAUCGAAGAAUUCACCUUGGAAGCCAAUACACACAAUAGCCCAAACGACGGGGUUAUGUCCGAGAAUAUGCAUUUUCAUCUUAUGCUUCCAACUAGACAAAUUAGUACCAUCAAAGUAAGGACCUCUACGGAGAUAAUUUCCCUCGCUACACGCCAUACUCUCCUAGGUUGUGAAACCAAGGCUAUGACCACCAAAAUCUAUGGAAAUCAAAGCAAAUGGAGACCAAGGCUCUGAUACCACUUGUAGGAUCUUGAAGUAUGUCUAGAGGGGGGGUGUGACUAGACUACUUGGCCAAUUAAAAACUUAACCUUUUCCCAAUUUUAGUCUUUGGCAGAUUUUAGCUAUCUUAUCACAAGUCAAGCAAUCUUCACACAAUUCAAGCAAGCAUGCAAAGAGUAUAUGAGCAGCGGAAAUUAAAGGAUGCAACUUGCAAGAAUGUAAUGGGAAGGGUUUGGAGAUUUCAAACGCAAUUUGGAGACACGGUGAUUUUUGAGCCGUGGUUCCGAUAGGUGGUGCUAUCGUACAUCCACGUUGAUGGAGACUUCAACCCACGAAGGGUAAUGGUUGCGCGAGUCCACGGAGGGCUCCACACAAGAAGGGUCCACGAAGAAGCAACCUUGUCUAUCCCACCAUGGCCGUCGCCCACGAAGGACUUGCCUCACUAGCGGUAGAUCUUCACAAAGUAGGUGAUCUCCUUGCCCUUACAAACUCCUUGGUUCAACUCCACAAUCUUGUCGGAGGCUCCCAAGUGAUGCCUAGCCAAUCUAGGAGACACCACUCUCCAAGAAAUAACAAAUGGUGUGUUGAUGAUGAACUCCUUGCUCUUGUGCUUCAAAUGAUAGUCUCCCCAACACUCAACUCUCUCUCACAGGAUUUGGAUCUGGUGGAAAGAAGAUUUGAGUGGAAAGCAACUUGGGGUAGGCUAGAGAUCAAGAUUCAUAUGGUUGGAAUGGAAUAUCUUGGCCUCAACACAUGAGUAUGUGGUUCUCUCUCAGAAAUGGUAAGUUGGAAGUGUAGGUUUGUUCUGAUGGCUCUCUCCACAAAUGAAGAGGAGAUGGAGGGGUAUAUAUAGCCUCCACACAAAAUCUAACCGUUACACACAAUUUACCAAUCUCGGUGGGACCGAAUUAACAAACUUGGUCGGACCGAUUUAGUAAACCUAGUGACCGUUAGUGAUUUCGGUGGGACCGACAUGCAACUCGGUAGGACCGAUAUGGUUAGGGUUAGGGCAUAUCGUAAUCUCGGUGAGACCGAUUACACAAACUCGGUGGGACCGAUUUUGGUAAUAAGCUAACCAGAGAGUUGGUCAUCGCUCUUUUCAGUGGGACCGAAAUGUUACAAAAAGGAAACAGAGUGUUUACAUUGCAAUCUCGGUGGGACCGAUCGCUCACUUUGGUUAGACCGAAAUAUUACGAAGGGAAACAGAGAGAUUGCAAUCCCAUCUUGGUGAGACCGAGAUCCCUAUCGGUGAGACUGAUUUGCCUAGGGUUUGUGGCAGUGGCUAUGACAUCUGAACUCGGUGGCGCCGGAUAAAAAGAAUUGGUGGGGCCGAGUUUGACUUUAGGUUUGAGUCAUAUGUGGAUAUGAGAAAGUAGUUGAGGGUUUUUUGGAGCAUAUCACUAAGCACUUGAAGCAAGAAACUCAUCAAGCAACACCUCAUCCCUCCUUGAUAGCAUUGGCUUUUCCUAUAGACUCAAUGUGAUCUUGGAUCACUAAAAUAUAAAAUGUAGAGUCUUGAGCUUUUGAGCUUGAGCCAAUCCUUUUAUCCUUGGUAUUUUGAGGGAUCCACUUUCCUCAUCCAUGCCAUGCCAUUCAUUGAGCUUUUCCUGAAAUAUUUGUCUUGGAAUAGUAUUAGCUCAAUGAGCUAUAUGUUGUUAGGAAUUACCAAAACCACCUAGGGAUAGUUGCACUUUCACUAAACCCUACCUAUCUAGCCUAUGAUUUUUCGGAUAGCCUCUACGGACUAAACCCUCCGGUUUAAAUACACACCGGAGGGACCUAGGGUUGUACAGAGUCGGUUUACAAGUGAAGGAAAUAGUACAUCCGGACACCAAUCUUGCCGUCCACGCAUAUAGGAGUCCUACCCGGACAUGGGGCAUGAUCUUCUGCUUUAUCUUCACACCCCAUCAGUCCGGCCCAUAUGCAAUUGCACCAGCAGAAUGAGGUAUACUGGAGACAACGCGACACUAUUAUCUGGACCUUGAAGGGCUACUCUCUAUCUACUUAUUUCUUUGCCAUUGCCAAUUGUCGUUGUCGUAGAUGUUUGAUUGAUAGUUUGGUUAUUGAUGGUGUUAGGGUGGUUAACCCUCACAUCAUCAUGGAGCAUGUGUUUAAUUUCUUUUCUAGCUUGUUGACUGCUAGGCCGGCUUUUGGUUCUAUUAUCUUCCCAACUUCUAGCACCAAGAUAGGAGGGUUUCAGACAAGGAGAAUGUGGCCCUAUCGGUUCCCCUAUUUGUGGAAGAAAUUGAGAUGGCCAUUAACUCUGCCAACAAGAACUCGACUUCUGCCCCGGAUGGAUUCUCCAUCCCCUUCUUCAGAUGGUUUGGGCCUAUCUUGCGCCCUUUGGUCUAUACUAUUAUCCAAGGUUUUUUUGCUUAGGCACUAUGGACAUCUCUUGCCUUAACUAUGCCAUUAUGUCCCUCUUCACCAAGGUCAAGGGUGCUGAUUCUAUCUCUAACUUUCGCCCCAUUACCCUGAUUAACAACUUUGCUAAAUUCCCUGCUAAAUGGUUGGCAACAAGGAGGACAUCUGUUGCUCACUGUACCGUUAGUCAUACUCAGCCAGCCUUCAUUAAAGAGAGGCAUAUUCUGGAGGGUAUUCUUUGCUUGCACAAAUUUUUCCAUGAUAUUAGAAUGCGUGGCACUCGGGCAAUUAUCCUAAAACUAUAUUUUGAAAAGGCUCAUGACUUGGUGAGUUGGGAUUUUCUUCGGCAAGUGUUGCAUGCCAAGGGGUUCGAAUCUGGCUUCGUGCAUAGACUGAUGCAACUAGUGUCUGGGGACACACGACAGUGGCAGUUAAUGGUUCGAUCAUCAAAUACUUUGUCAAUGGUAGGGGCCUACGACAAGGUGAUCCCGUAUCCCCUAUUCUUUUCAACUUCCUGGCUGACGUGUUGUCCUGUUUGUUGGACCGGGCGGCCUCGGCUGGGUAUAUCACUCCUGUCAUCUCCCAUUUACUUCCUCACGGCAUGACUCACCUCCAGUAUGCUGAUGAUGUUAUCAUUUUAGUGGAACUCAAUGACACUUGCCUUACCAAUCUAAGUUCAUUUUCCUAUGCUUCGAAGCUUUGUUGGGGCUAAAAAUCAACUUCUCUAAAAGUGAGGUCAUUGUAACUGGGGUCGAGGACAAUGAGGCUCUACGGGUGUCCCGGCUUCUUAACUGUUCUCUUGGGUCCUUUCCUUUCAAGUACCUAGGGCUCACUAUCUCCCCUUUCCACCUCUGUGCUAAGGAAUUUAAACCUCUGGUUUCUAAGGUGGGUAAUACAGUCAUGCCUUGGCGCGGUAGAUACAACACCUCUGCUGGGAAAGUUUGUCUUAUUAAUGCUUGCCUUUCUUCCCUUCCUAUGUUUACCAUGGGCUUUUAUAGACUGUCUAAGGGUACUCAUGGGUUUUGAUAAGCAUAGGGGUGCUUUUUACUGGAAUUCUGCGGAUAACAAGCGUAAGUAUAGAUUUGUUAAGUGGGCUAUUAUAUGCAGACCUAAAAGCCUUGGGGGGCUUGGGAUUCUUAAUACUUCCAUCAUGAACACGUGUCUCUUUCUAAAUGGUGGUGGAAGAUUAUGAAUGAUACCCCCGACACCAUUUGGUUUGAUCUCCUAAAAUCUAAGUACUUCCCUAAUGGCAGUCCCAUGUUUUCUUCGGCGAAUCAUGGCUCACAAUUUUGGAAGGACCUUGUUAGGGUGAGCGAUGUUUUCGGGAGCAAGUUAAUUUUGUGGUAAAUAAUGGUGUCUCCACUUGUUUUUGGUUGGAUUGGUGGACUAGUGAGUCCACCCUUGCUUCUGCUUUCCCUACCUUGUUCUCCUGUUUGCCUUCUCCUGAGAUUUCAAUCUCUGAGCUCUCCUAGAAUAACUGGGACUUGGGUUUCCGAAUGUCCCUUUUUCCUGAAGAACUAGGGGACUGACAUCGCCUUGUUUCUAUGUUCCCAAUCCUCUUGGAUGAGGAGGGCUCGGUUCCCUGGCCCCAUGCCGCGUCUGGAAAGUUUUCCCUUAAUUCUCUGUAUACUAGAAUUAUUGAUGGUACCCCUACUUCCAUGUUCAAACCCAUUUGGGCUGCCAGGAUCCCUCCCAAGAUCAAGAUUUUUCUCUGGCAGGCCACUAGGGGUUGGCUGCCCUCUACAGAUCAGAUUCAGAAAAGGAACAACCCUGGCUCGGACGCUUGUGCUUUAUGCACUGCGCAUGAGGACACUAACCAUAUCUUCUUUCGUUGUACCCUGGCCAAGCUAAUGUGGGGUUGUGUUCGAUCGUGGUUGCAAACCUCUUGGGCCCCCACUUCGUUCUCAGAUGUUCGCUAGUUAACUUCUAACCUUCAGGGGUGCUCUAAGAGGAUAUUUUGGGUCGGAUUGGGUGCUCUUUGCUAGUCGCUAUAGACUACCAGAAAUAAAUUCACCAUUGAGGGUGUGUUUCCUAACAAACAUGCUGAUGUCCUAUUUAAAAUGUCUAUUAUCUUGCAGCAGUGGAAAUUACUGACUAAGCCUGUGGACUGGGACGGGUGGGAGGUGCUGAUCAACAAAGUUCGAGCGUCUACCAAUCUACUAUCUUCUCCUCCCGCCGCAACGUCUUUGUAGUUUGAUGAAUCUAUCCUUAAGCAGUAGGUGGUUGGCCUGCGUGCCUUUGUAUUUGUCAUUUGGGAUUGCGCUCUGCUGAACUAUGGUCUCUGUACUAUGUGGUGGUUGGCCCUGUCUGUUUUGGGUAAACUGUUUGAUUGUUGUUGGAUGGUUGUUACUCUACCGUGUGGCUUUAUUUAUAAAGUCGGGCGUAUGCCUAUUCUCUAAAAAACAAUGCACAAUCGGUGGUAAAAUCUAAUAUAAUCUAGUCAUUUCAAAAAACAAGAAACAAAAAUAAUCUAGUCACUUCAGCAAGCGUGUUUGGAUCAGUGCAAAAUUCAAAUAAUGCAUAAUCCUAAACAAUCCAGUCCGCAAAUCAGGAGAAGCAACAAACCAAAAAAAAUCCAGUCUGCAAAGAGAGAUGCAUUGUACUUACAACACCGCCGGAGGUGGAGCAGGAGCAGACGAAGGAACAUCAAAUUGACCUCGCGCCUAUCACAGUCGAAAUCAGAGUCACAACAAGCAAAGUUUUGGCCGCCUUAGUCGAGGUACCAUUCGAAGGAACAUCAAAUUGGGUCGGAGCAAGGGAAGAAAACCCUCGCGAUGAAGUCAAAAUUCCUGCCGUGGGCACGGUCGUUGUGCCGGCACUCACAAUUCUCAUCCACACUGUCGUAGCAAUUGAAGUACUUAUCACCACUGGCAUGCCUACGAAUGUCGAUGAGCGGUCGUUAGUUGCCGACCGCGACCUUGUGCAAAAGAGGGAAGGGGCCUUCAGAGCCCUCACCAAUGGAAGAGGGUCCACACCCCCUUCUCGGCUCAAGUCAUCGAACCAAUGUGACAGAUUGUUGGGAACAGGGGUAUCCCUAAUUUUACGUAAAUGGGAUUCAUUGGAAAAACCAAAUCAGACUAAAACUUGGAAAAAGGUUCAUUUACUAUUGACUAUUAUUUCCCACCCGAAGACAUGCAUUGAUACAUGGCUACUAUGACAACACCAGUCACAAAGGAUCGCCGGGGAAGCAAAUGAUGACAUUAGUGACAGAAUCUGGGGCUGGAGCCCCAAGCAGCCAACACACCUAUAGCAAGGGAUGGUGGCCCUUGCGUAGCACUCCAUCAACCGAGCAUUUAAUGCCCGCCCAGGAUGUACCUCAUAGCCCGUCCUCGGCCUACGAAAAUAUGCCAUCAUGACGAAGACCAGAAUGGACGGGCGUCUCAGCACUUGACACUACUAGUGUCUGGUCAUCUAUUGACAAAACCAACGACAAGUUGCAUGCAACACUUAAAACUUUGUGCACCCAUUCACACACAAUUAGGUGACCAUUGUGGUGCCCCUAGACCUAUAUAAGGGGAGGACCAGGUCAUUUAUAGGGAGAGAAGACACAACACAACCAUCAUAGAGCUCAUCAUCAUACACCACCCAAGGAGAAUACCAAGUAGUAGCCUCGUCCCAGAGAAGGCAAGAGGGUUAGAGUUAGGAGUGCUCAGGUACUCUAGCUAGGACCCCAACCAUCAAUGGUCGCACCCUGACCACCAUCUUUGUAACACUCUAGCACUUGUAGUCCUUGUUGGGAAAUGUUGCAUGGAAAACAAAAACAAUUCUACACACAUGCAAGGUCUAUCCCUGGAGAUGCAUAGCACCGAGAGGGGAGAGUGUGUCUACGUACCCUCGUAGACCGUAAGCGGAAGUAUUUAACAACACGGUUGAUGUAGUCGAACUUCUUCACACUCCAACUGAUCAAGUACCGAACAUACGACACCUCCGCGUUCUGCACACGUUCAGCUCGGUGAUGUCCUCCACCUUCUUGAUCCAGCAAGACGGCAAGGUAGUAGAUGAGUUCUGGCAACACGAUGGCGUCGUGACGAUUAUGGUGAUGCCAUCUCCGUUGGGCUUUGCCUAAGCACUACGAUAAUAUGACCGAGGGAGUAAACGAUGGAUGGGGGCGCCGCACACGGCUAAGACAAUGUUGUAUACUUGUGUGGCGCCCCCUCCCCAUGUAUAUAUAGGUGGGAGGGGAGGAGGCAGCCCCUGGGGCGCCCCAAGAGACCUGGCGGCAGCCCUAGGGCUGCUGCCUUGCCCUGUGCCCCCUUGGAGUGUGGGAGGAAGGCAGGGGAGGGUGGCGCCCCCUUCCUUUCUCACAUGAGGAGGGAAAGGCAGGAGGGGCCACCCUCCCCUUUCCUUCCCCAUAGGGCCGGCCAGCCAUGGGAGGGGCGCACCAGCCCCCUUGUGGGCUGGUCUGUCCCCUCCUUUGGCCCAUAAGGCCCAUAUCUUCUCGGGAGGUGCCCGGAACCCCUUUCGCUGACCUGAUUUCUUCCCGGUACGUCCCGAAACACUUCCGGUGUCGAAACACCAUCGUCCUAUAUACAAAUCUUUACCUGUCGACCAUUUCGAGACUCCUCGUCAUGUCCUUGAUCUCAUCUGGGACUCCGAACAACAUUCGGUCACCAAAUCAUAUAACUCAUAUAACACUAUGUCGUCAACGAACGUUAAGCGUGUGGACCCUAUGGGUUCAAGAACUAUGUAGACAUGACCGAGACACCACUCUGGUCAAUAAUCAAUAGCGAAACCUGGAUGCCCAUAUUGGCUCCUACAUAUUCUACUAGGUGUUGGGGAACGCAGUAAUUUCAAAAAAAAAUUAUGAUCAUGCAAAAUCUAUCUUGGUGAUGCAUAGCAACGAGAUGGGAGAGUGUGUCCACGCACCCUCGUAGAACAAAAGCAGAAGCGUUUGAAUAACGCGGUUGAUGUAGUUGAAGUUCUUCGCGAUCCAACCAAUCAAGUACCAAACACCGACACCUGCACGUUCAGCACACAUUCAGCUCGAUGACGUCCCUCGUGCUCUUGAUCCAGCUGAGGACGAGGGUGAGUUCUGUCGGCACGAUAGCGUGGUGACGGUGAUGAUGAUGCUACCGGCUCAGGGCUUUACCUAAGCACUACGAUGGUAUGAUCGAGGUGUGUAACUUUGGAGGGGGGCACCACACACGGUUGGGAGAGAAACUUGUGUGUUCUCGGGUGCCCCUGCUCCCGUAUAUAAAGGAUCAAGGGGGAGGCCAGCCGGCCCCUAGGGCGCGCCCCAAGAGGGGAGUCCUACUAGGACUACUAGUCCUAGUAGGAUUCCACCAAGAGGGAGAGAGGGGGAAGGAAGGAGAGGGAGAGGGAAUAGGAAAGGGGGGCGCCAACCCCCUUCCCUAGUCCAAUUCGGACCCAAGGGGGAGGGGGCGGGCGGCCUGCCCUGGCCGCCCAUGUCUCUCUCCACCAAGGCCCAUGUGUCCCAUUCGUUCCCCGGGGUUCCGGUAACCCCUCCGGCAGUCCGAUUUUACCCGAAACUUUCCGGAACACUUCUGAUGUCCGAAUAUAGCUGUCCAAUAUAUCAAUCUUUAUGUCUCGACCAUUUCAAGACUCCUCGUCACGUCUGUGAUCUCAUUCGGGACUCCAAACAAACUUCGGUCAUCAAAAACACAUAACUCAUAAUACAUAUCAUCACCGAAUGUUAAGCGUGCGGACCCUACGGGUUCGAGAACUAUGUAGACAUGACCGAGACUCAUCUCCGUUCAAUAACGAAUAGCGGAACCUGGAUGCUCAUAUUGGCUCCCAGAUAUUCUACGAAGAUCUUUAUCGGUUAAACCGCAUAACAACAUACGUUGUUCCCUUUAUCAUUGGUAUGUUAGUUGCCCGAGAUUCGAUCAUCGGUAUCAUCAUACCUAGUUCAAUCUCGUCACCGGCAAGUCUCUUUACUCGUUCCGUAAUACUUCAUCACGCAACUAACUCAUUAGUCACACUGCUUGCAAGGCUUAUAGCGACGAGCAUUACCGAGAGGGCCUGGAGAUACCUCUCCGAAACACAGAGUGACAAAUCCUAAUCUCGAUCUAUGCCAACCGAACAAACACCUUCGGAGACACCUGUAGAGCACCUUUAUAAUCACCCUUUUACAUUGUGACGUUUGGUAGCACACAAAGUGUUCCUCUGGUAUUCGGGAGUUGCAUAAUCUCGUAGUCUGAGGAACAUGUAUAAGUCAUGAAGAAAGCAGUAGCAAUGAAACUAUAACGAUCAUAAUGCUAAGCUAACGGAUGGGUCAUGUCCAUCACAUCAUUCUCCUAAUGAUGUGAUCCCGUUCAUCAAAUGACAACAAAUGUCCAUUGUUAGGAAACUUAACCAUCUUUGAUUAACGAGCUAGUCAAGUAGAGGCAUACUAGGGACACUAUGUUUUGUCUAUGUAUUCACACAUGUACUAAGUUUCCGGUUAAUACAAUUCUAGCAUGAAUAAUAAACAUUUAUCAUGAAAUAAGGAAAUAAAUAAUAACUUUAUUAUUUCCUCUAGUGCAUAUUUCCUUCAGUCUCCCACUUGCACUAGAGUCAAUAAUCUAGAUUAAAAAGUAAUGAUUCUAACACCCAUGGAGUUUUGGUGCUGAUCAUGUUUUGCUCGUGGAAGAGGCUUAGUCAAUGGGUCUGCAACAUUCAGAUCCGUAUGUAUCUUUCAAAUCUCUAUGUCCCCCUCCGACACUUGAUGAUAGAUGGAAUUGAAGUGUCUUUUAAUGUGCUCGGUUCUCUUGUGAAAUCUGGAUUCCUUUGCCAAGGGAAUUGCACUAGUAUUGUCACAAAAGAUUUUCAUUGGACCCGAUGCACUAGGUAUGACACCUAGAUCAGAUAUGAACUUCUUCAUCUAAACUCCUUCAUUUGCUGCUUCCGAAGCAGCAAUGUACUCCGCUUCACACUUAGAUCCCGCCACAACACUCUGCUUGGAACUGCACCAACUGAUAGCUUCUCCAUUCAAUAAAAAUACGUAUCCAGAUUGCGACUUAGAGUCACACGGAUCAGUGUCAAAGCUUGCAUCAACGUAACCGUUUACGACGAGAUCUUCUUCACCUCCAUAAACAAGAAACAUAUCCUUAGUCCUUUUCAGGUAUUUGAGGAUGUUCUUGACCGCUGUCGAGUGCUCCACUCCGGGAUUACUUUGGUACCUCCCUGCUAUACUUAUAGUAAGACACACAUCAGGUCUGGUACACAGCAUUGCAUACAUGAUAGAACCUAUGGCUGAAGCAUAGGGAACGACUUUCAUUUUCUCUCUAUCUUCUGCAGUGGUCGGGCAUUGAGUCUGACUCAACUUCACACCUUGUAACACAGGUAAGAACCCUUUCUUUGACUGAUCCAUUUUGAACUUCUUAAAAACUUUAUCAAGGUAUGUGAUUUGUGAAAGUCCAAUUAAGCGUCUUGAUCUAUCUCUAUAGAUCUUUGAUGCCCAAUAUGUAAGCAGCUUCUCCGAGGUAUUUCAUUGAAAAACUCUUAUUCAGGUAUCCCUUUAUGCUAUCCAAAAAUUCUAUGUCAUUUCAAAUCAACAAUAUGUCAUCCACAUAUAAUAUUAGAAAUGCUACAGAGCUCCCACUCACUUUCUUGUAAAUACAGGCUUCUCCAAAAGUCUGUAUAAAACCAUAUGCUUUGAUCACACUAUCAAAGAGUUUAUUCCAACUCCGAGAGGCUUGCACCAGUCCAUAAAUGGAUCGCUGUAGCUUGCACACUUUGUUAGCACCCUUUGGAUGGACAAAACCCUCUGGUUGCAUCAUAUACAACUCUUCUUCCAGAAAUCCAUUCAGGAAUGUAGUUUUGACAUCCAUCUGCCAAAUUUCAUAAUCAUAAAAUGCGGCAAUGGCUAACAUGAUUCGGACAGACUUAAGCAUCGCUACGGGUGAGAAAGUCUCAUCAUAGUCAACUCCUUGAACUUGUCGAAAACCUUUCGCAACAAGUCGAGCUUUGUAGAUAGUAAAAUUACCGUCAGCGUCAGUUUCUUCUUGAAGAUCCAUUUAUUUUCUAUGGCUUGCCGAUCAUCGGGCAAGUCCACCAAAGUCCACACUUUGUUCUCAUACAUGGACCCCAUCUCAUAUUUCAUGGCCUCAAGCCAUUUCGCGGAAUCUGGGCUCAUCAUCGCUUCCUCAUAGUUCAUAGGUUCACCAUGGUCUAGUAACAUGACUUCCAGAACAGGAUUACCGUACCACUCUGGUGCACAUCUCACUCUAGAAGACCUACGAGGUUCGGUAGUAACUUGAUCCGAAGUUUCAUGAUCAACAUCAUUAGCUUCCUCACUAAUUGGUGUAGGAAUCACUGGAACUGAUUUCUGUGAUGAAGUACUUUCCAAUAAGGGAGAAGGUACAAUUACCUCAUCAAGUUCUACUUUCCUCCCACUCACUUCUUUCGAGAGAAACUCCUUUUUGUAGAAAGGAUCCAUUCUUAGCAACAAAUAUUUUGCCUUCGGAUCUGGGAUAGAAGGUGUACCCAACGGUUUCCUUUGGGUAUCCUAUGAAGACGCACUUCUCCAAUUUGGGUUCAAGCUUAUCAGGUUGAAGCUUUUUCACAUAAGCAUCACAACCCCAAACUUUAAGACACGACAACUUUGGUUUCUUGCCAAACCAUAGUUCAUAAGGUGUCGUCUCAACGGAUUUUGAUGGUGCCCUAUUUAAAGUGAAUGAAGCCAUCUCUAAAGCAUAACCCCAAAAUUAUAGCGGUAAAUCAGUAAGAGACAUCAUAAAUCGCACCAUAUCCAAUAAAGUACCGUUACAACGUUUAGACACACCAUUUCGCUAUGGUGUUCUAGGUGGCGUUAGUUGUGAAACUAUCCCAUGUUGUUUCGAAUGAAGACCAAACUCGUAACUCAAAUAUUGUCCUCCACGAUCAGAUCAUAGAAACUUUAUUUUCUGGUUAUGAUGAUUUUCCACUUCACUCUGAAAUUCUUUGAACUUUUCAAAUGUUUCAGACUUGUGCUUCAUUAAGUAGAUAUAACCAUAUCUGCUCAAAUCAUCUGUGAAGGUAAGAAAAUAAUGAUACCCGCCAUGAGCCUCAACAAUCAUUGGACCGCAUACAUCGGUAUGUAUUGUUUCCAAUAAGUCAGCAGCUCAUUCCAUUGUUCUGGAGAAUGGAGUUUUAUUCAUCUUGCCCACGAGGCACGGUUCGCAAGCACCAAGUGAUUCAUAAUUAAGUGAUUCCAAAAGUCCAUCAGCAUGGAGUUUCUUCAUGCGCUUUACACCGAUAUGACCCAAACGGCAGUGCCGCAAAUAAGUUGCACUAUCAUUAUCAACUUUGCAUCUUUUGGCUUCAAUAUUAUGAACAUGUGUAUCAUCACGAUCGAGAUUCAACAAAAAUGACCACUCAACAAGGGUGCAUGACGAUAAAAGAUAUUACUCAUAUAAAUAGAACAACCAUUAUUCUCUGAUUUAAAAGAAUAACCGUCUCGCAUCAAACAAGAUCUAGAUAUAAUGUUCAUGCUCAACGCUGGCAUGAAAUAACAAUUAUUUAGGUCUAAAACUAAUCCCGAAGGUAGAUGUAGAGGUAGCGUGCCGACGGCGGUCACAUCGACCUUGGAACCAUUUCACAUGCGCAUCAUCACCUUGUCCUUAGCCAAUCUUCGUUUAAUCCGUAUCCCCUGUUUCAAGUUGCAAUAUUGAGCAACAGAACCAGUAUCUAAUACCUAGGCGCUACUACGAGCAUUAGUAAGGUACACAUCAAUAACAUGUAUAUCAAAUAUACCUUUCACUUUGCCAUCCUUCUUAUCCGCCAAAUACUUGGGGCAGUUUUGCUUCCAGUGACCAGUCCCUUUGUAGUAGAAGCACUCAGUUUCAGGCUUAGGUCCAGACUUGGGUUUCUUCUCUUGAGCAGCAACUAUGUUGUCGUUCUUCUUGAAGUUCCCCUUCUUCCCUUUGCCCUUUUUCUUGAAACUAGUGGUCUUGUUGACCAUCAACACUUGAUGCUCCUUCUUGAUUUCUACCUCUGUGGCCUUUAGCAUUGCGAAGAGCUCGAGAAUAGUCUUGUUCACCCCUUGCAUAUUAUAUUUCAUCAUGAAGCCUUUAUAGCUUGAUGGUAGUGAUUGAAGAACUCUGUCAAUGACACUAUCAUCAGGAAGAUUAACUCCCAGCUGAGUCAAGUGGUUAUGGUACCCAGAGAUUCUAUGUGUUCACUAACAGAACUAUUCUCCUCCGUUUUGAAGCUGUAGAACUUGUUGGAGACUUCAUAUCUUUCAUCUCGGGCAUUUUCUUGGAAUAUUAACUUCAACUCUUGGAACAUCUCAUAUGCUCCAUGACGUUCAAAACGUCUUUGAAGUCCCGAUUCUAAGCUGUAAAGCAUGGCACACUGAACUAUCGAGUAGUCAUUAGCUUUGCUCUGCCAUACGUUCUUAACGUCAUUAGUAGCAUCUGCAGCAGGCCUGGCACCCAAUGGUGCUUCCAGGACGUAAUUCUUCUGUGCAACAAUAAGGAUAAUCCUCAAGUUAUGGACCUAGUCCGUGUAGUUGCUGUCAUCAUCUUUCAACUUAGCUUUCUCUAGGAACGCAUUAAAAUUAAAAGGAACGGUAGCACAGGCCAUUGAUCUACAAUAACAUAGACAUGCAAAAUAACUAUCAGGACUAAGUUCAUGAUAAAUUAAAGUUCAGUUAAUCAUAUUACUUAAGAACCCCCACUUAGAUAGACAUCCCUCUAGUCAUCUAAAUGAUCACGUGCUCCAAAUCAACUAAACCAUGUCCGAUCAGCAUGUGAGAUGGAGUAGUUUUCAAUGGUGAACAUCACUAUGUUGAUCAUAUCUACUAUAUGAUUCACGUUCGACCUUUCGGUCUCAGUGUUCUGAGGCCAUAUCUGCAUAUGCUAGGCUCAUCAAGUUUAACCCGAGAAUUUUGCGUGUGCAAAACUGGCUUGCACCCAUUGUUGUGAGCGUAGAGCUUAUCACACCUGAUCAUCACGUGGUGUCUCGACACGAUGAACUGUAGCAACGGUGCAUACUCUGGGAGAACACUUAUACCUUGAAAUUUAGUAAGGGAUCAUCUUAUAAUGCUACCGCCGUACUAAGCAAAAUAAUAUGCAUAAAAGAUAAACAUCACACGCAAUUAAAAUAUGUGACAUGAUAUGGCCCUCAUCAUCUUGUGCUCAAGAUCUCCAUCACCGAAACAUCGUCAUGAUCUCCAUCGUCACCGGCGCGACACCUUGAUCUAUGACUAUUGCUACCGUUUAGUGAUAAAGUAAAACAAUUACAUGGCGAUUGCAUUGCAUACAAUAAAGCGACAACCAUAUGGCUCCUGCCAAUUGCCGAUAACUUUGUUACAAAACAUGAUCAUCUCAUACAACAAUUUAUAUCACAUCAUGCCUUGACCAUAUCACAUCACAACAAGCCCUGCAAAAACAAGUUAGACGUCCUCUACUUUGGUGUUGCAAGUUUUACGUGGCUGCUACGGGCUUCUAGUAAGAACCAUUCUUACCUACGCAUCAAAACCACAAUGAUUUUUCAUCAAGUGUGCUAUUUUAACCUUCAACAAGGAUCAGACGUAGACAAAUUCGAUUCAACUAAAGUUGGAGAAACAGACACUAGCCAACCACCUAUGUGCAAAAGCACGUCGGUAGAACCAGUCUCAUGAACGCGGUCAUGUAAUGUCGGUCCGGGCUGCUUCAUCCAACAAUAGCGCCGAAUCAAAGUAAGACAUUGGUGGUAAGCAGUAAGACUAUUAUCGCCCACAACUCUUUGUGUUCUACUCGUGCAUAUAACAUCUACGCAUAGACCUGGCUCGGAUGCCAUUGUUGGGGAACACAGUAACUUUAAAAAAAUCCUACAAUCACGCAAAAUCUAUCUAGGUGAUGCAUAGCAACGAGAGGGGAAAGUGUGUCCACGUACCCUCAUAGACCAAAAGCGGAAGUGUUUAAAUAACGCGGUUGAUGUAGUCGAACUUCUUUGCGAUCCAACUGAUCAAGUACCAAAUGCACGGCACCUCCGUGUUAAGCACACAUUCAGCUUGAUGACGUCCUUCGUGCUCUUGAUCCAGUUGAGGACGAGGGUGAGUUCCAUCAGCACGACGGCGUGGCGACGGUGAUGAUGAUGCUACCGGCGCAGGGCUUCGCCUAAGCACUACGAUGGUAUGAUCGAGGUGCGUAACUAUGGAGGGGGGCACCGCACACGGUUGGGAGAGAAACUUGUGUGUUCUAGGGUGCCCCUGGCCCCGUAUAUAAAGGAGCAAGGGGGAGGCCGACCGGCCCCUAGGGCGCGCCCCAACAGGGGAGUCCUACUAGGACUACUAGUCCUAGUAGGAUUCCACCAAGAGGGGGACAGGAGGAAGGAAGGAGAGGAAGAGGGAAUAGGAAAGGGGGGCGCCACCCCAACUUCCCUAGUCCAAUUCGGACCAAGGGGGAGGGGGUGCGCAGCCUGCCCUGGCCGCCCCUCUCUCUCUCCACCAACGCCCAUGUGGCCCAUUAGUUCCCCGGGGGGUUCUGGUAACUCCUCUGGCACUCCGGUUUUACCCGAAACUUUUCAGAACACUUCAGGUGUCCGAAUAUAGCCAUCCAAUAUAUCAAUCUUUAUGUCUCGACCAUUUAGAAACUCCUCGCCACAUCCGUGAUCUCAUCCGGGACUCUGAACAAACUUCGGUCAUCAAAAACACAUAACUCAUAAUACAUGUCAUCAUCGAACGUUAAGCGUGCGGAUCCUACGGGUUUGAAAUCUAUGUAGACAUGACCGAGACUCAUCUCCGAUCAAUAACCAAUAGCGGAACCUGGAUGCUCAUAUUGGCUCCCACAUAUUCUACGAAGAUCUUUAUCGGUCAAACCGCAUAACAACAUACGUUGUUCCCUUUAUCAUCGGUAUGUUACUUGCCCGAGAUUCGAUCGUCGGUAUCAUCAUACCUAGUUCUAUCUCGUCACCGACAAGUCUCAUUACUCGUUCCGUAAUACUUCAUCCUGCAACUAACUCAUUAAUCAUGCUACUUGCAAGGCUUAUAGUGAUGAGCAUUACCGAGAGGGCCCAGAGAUACCUCUCCAAAACACAGAGUGACAAAUCCUAAUCUUGAUCUAUGCCAACCCAAAAAACACCUUCAGAAACACCUGUAGAGCACUUUUAUAAUCACCCUUUUACGUUGUAACAUUUUGUAGCACACAAAGUGUUCCUAUGGUAUCCGGGAGUUGCAUAAUCUCAUAGUCUGAGGAACAUGUAUAAGUCAUGAACAAAGCAGUAGCAAUGAAACUGUAACAAUCAUAAUGCUAAGCUAACGGAUGGGUUAUGUCCAUCACAUCAUUCUCCUAAUGAUGUGAUCCCGUUCAUCAAAUGACAACACAAGUCCAUGGUUAGGAAACUUAACCAUCUUUGAUUAACGAGCUAGUCAAGUAGAGGCAUACUAGGGACAUUAUGUUUUGUCUAUGUAUUCACACAUGUACCAAGUUUCUGGUUAAUACAUUUCUGGCAUGAAUAAUAAACAUUUAUCAUGAAAUAAGGAGAUAAAUAAUAACUUUAUUAUUGCCUCUAAGGCAUAUUUCCUUCACUAGGAUCUUUAUUAUUCGAACCGUUAUGACAACAUACGUAAUUCCCUUUGUCCAUCGUUAUGUUACUUGCCCAAGAUUCGAUCGUGGGUAUCUUCAUUCCUAAUUAAAUCUCGUUAUUGGCAAGUCUCUUUACUCAUUCCAUAAUACAUCAUCUUGCAACUAACUCAUUAGUAACUUUGCUUCCAAGGCUUCUUAUGAUGUGCAUUACCAAGAGGGCCCAGAGAUACCUCUCCGAUACACGGAGUGACAAAUCCUAAUCUCGAUCUAUGCCAACUCAACAAACACGUUUGGAGAUACCCGUAGAGCAUCUUUAUGAUCAACCAGUUAUGUUGUGACGUUUGAUAGUACACAAGGUAUUCCUCUAGUAUCCGGGAGUUGCAUAAUCUCAUAGUCGAAGGAAUAUGUAUUUGACAUGAAGAAAGCAAUAGCAAUAAACUGAACGCUCAAUAUGCUAAUCUAACGGAUGGGUCUUGUCCAUCACAUCAUUCUCCUAAUGAUGUGAUCCCGUUAUCAAAUGACAACACAUGUCUAUGGUUAGGAAACCUUAACCAUCUUCGAUCAAUGGGCUAGUCUAGUAGAGGCUUACUAGGGACACAAUAUUUGUUUAUGUAUUCACACAUGUGUUUAUGUUCCCGAUCAAUACAAUUCACACAUGUAGAGGCUUACUUCAUUAUUGCCUCUAGGGCAUAUUUCCUUCAGUCUCCCACUUGCACUAGAGUCAAUAAUCUAGUUCACAUUGUCAUGUGAUUAACACCCAUAGUUCACAUCGCCAUGUGACUAAUACACAAUGAGUUUACUAGAGUCAAUAAUCGAGUUCACAUCGCCAUGUGAUUAACACCCAAAGAGUACUAAGGUAUGAUCAUGUUUUGCUUGUGAGAGAGGUUUAGUCAACGGGUCUACCACAUUUAGAUCCGUAUGUAUUUUGUAAGUUUCUAUGUCUACAAUGCUCUACAUGGAGAUACUCUAGCUAAUUACUGACACUUUCAAUAUGUAUUCAGAUUGAGACUCGGGGUCAUCUAAAUCGGUGCCAAAGCUUGCAUCGGUGUAACCCUUGACGAUGAACUCUUUAUCACCUCCAUAAUUGAGAAACAUUUCCUUAUUCCUUUAAGGAUAAUUUUUACCGUUGUCUAGUAAUCCACUCCUGGAUCACUCUUGUACCCCCUUGCCAGACACGUGGCAAGGCACACAUUAGGUCUGGUACACAACAUGGCAUGCUUUAUAGAACCUAUGGCUGAGGCAUAGGGAAUGACUUUCAUUCUAUCUCUAUUUUUUCUGCCAUGGUCAGGCUUUGAGUCUUACUCAACUUCAUACCUUACAACUCACGCAAGAACUCCUUCUUUGACUGAUCCAUUUUGAACUUCUUCAAAACUUUAUCAAGGUAUGUGUUUUGUCGAAGUCCUAUUAAGUGUCUUGAUCUAUCUCUAUAGAUCUUGAUGCCCAAUAUGUAAGCAGCUUCACCGAGGUAUUUCUGUGAAAAACUCCUUUUAGACAACCCUUUAUGCUUUCCAGAAAAUUCUACAUCAUUUUCGAUCAACAAUAUCUCAUCUACAUAUACUUAUCAGGGAUGUUGUAGUGCUCCCACUCACUUUCUUGUAAAUACAAGCUUUAGCAUAAGUCUGUAUAAAACCAUAUGCUUUGGUCACCUCAUCAAUGCAUAUAUUCCAACACUGAGAUGCUUGCACCAGUCCAUAGAUGGAUUGCUGGAGCUUGCACACUUUGUUAGCACCUUUAGGAUCGACAAAACCUUCUGGUUGCACCAUAUACAACUCUUCUUUAAGAAAUCCAUUAAGAAAUGCAGUUUUGAUGUCCAUUUGCCAAAUGUCAUAAUUAUAAAAUGCGGCAAUUGCUAACAUGAUUCAGAUUGACUUAAGCAUCGCUACGGGUGAGAAGGUCUCAUUGUAGUCAACUCCUUAAUCUUGUUGAAAACCUUUGCGCGACAAGCCGAGUUUUGUAGAUGGUGACUUUACCAUUAGUGUUUGUCUUCUUCUUGAAGAUCCAUUUAUUCUCAAUGGCUUGCCGAUCAUCGGGCAAGUCCACCAAAGUCCUAAUUGUUCUCAUACAUGGAUCCUAUCUCAGAUUUCAUGGUCUCAAGCCAUUUAUCGGAAUCUGGGCUCAUCAUAGCUUCUUCAUAGUUCAUAGGUUUGCCAUGGUCUAAUAACAUGACUUCCAGGACAUGAUUACCGUACCACUCUGGUGCGGAACAUGCUCUGUUCGACCUAUGAGGUCUAGUAGUAACUUGAUCCGAAGUUUCCAUUCUUGGCAACAAAGAUCUUGCCUUCGGAUCUGUGGUAGAAGGUGUACCCAAUUGUUUCCUUAGGGUAUCCUAUGAAGAAGCACUUCUCCGAUUUGGGUUUGAGCUUAUCAGGCUAAAGCCUUUGGACAUAAGUGUCGCAACCCCAAACUUAAAGAAACAACAUCUUAGGUUUCUUGCCAAACCAUAAUUCAUACGGUGUCAUCUCAACGGAUUUAGACGGUGCCCUAUUUAACAUGAAUGCAGUUGUGCCUAAUGCAUAACCCCAAAAAUGAUAGUGGUAAAUCGACAAGAGACAUCAUAGAACGCACCAUAUCCAAUGAUGUACGGUUAUGAUGUUUGGACACACCAUUAAGCUGUGGUGUUCCAGGAGGCGUGAGUUGUGAUACAAUUCCACAUUGUUUUAAAUGAAGGCCAAACUCGUAACUCAAAUAUUCGCCUCCCCGAUCAGAUCAUAGAAACUUUAUUUCUUGUUACGAUGAUUCUCUACUUCACUCUGAAAUUCUUUGAACUUUUCAAAUGUUUCAGACUUGUGUUUCAUUAAGUAGAUAUACCCAUACCUACUCAAAUCAUCUGUGAUGGUCAGAAAAUAACGAUACCCACACGUGUUUCAACACUCAUCAGACCACAUACAUCGGUAUGUAUUAUUUCCAAUAAGUCAUUAGCUCGCUCCAUUGUUCCGGAUGAAGUUUUAGUCAUCUUGCCCAUGAGGCAUGGUCUGCAAGUAUCAAAUGGUUCAUAAUCAAGUGACUCCAAAAGUCCAUCUGCAUGGAGUUUCUUCAUGCGCUCUACACCAAUAUGACCUAAACGGCAGUGCCACAAGUAUGUUGCACUAUCAUUAUCAACUUUGCAUCUUUUGGCAUCGAUAUUAUGAAUAUGUGUAUCACUACAAUCGAGAUUCAAUAAACCAUUCACAUUGGGUGUAUGACCAUAGAAGGUUUUACCCAUGUAAACAAAACAACGGUUAUUCUUUUAACUUAAAUGAAUAACUGUAUUGCAAUAAACAUGAUCUAAUCAUAUUCAUGCUCAAUGCAAACACCAAAUAACAUUUAUUUAGGUUCAACACUAAUCCCGAAGGUAGAGUGUGCGAAGAUGAUCGUAUCAACCUUCGAACCAUUUCCAACACACAUCCUCACCUCGCCCUUAACUAGUCUUUGUUUAUUCUACAACUCCUAUUUCGAGUUACUAAUCUUAGCAACUGAACCGGUAUCAAAUACCCAGGGGCUACUACGAAUACUAGUAAGGUACACAUCAAUAACAUGUAUAUCAAAUAUACCUUUGUUCACCUUGCCAUCCUUCUUAUCCGCCAAGUAUUUGGGGUAGUUUCGCUUCUAGUGACCAUUCCCUUUGUAGUAGAAGCACUCAGUUUCAGGCUUAGCUCCAUCUUUGGGUUUCUUCACGGGAGUGACAACUUGCUUGCCAUUCUUCUUGAAGUUCCCUUUCUUCCCCUUGCCCUUUUCCUUGAAACUAGUGGCCUUGUUAACCAUCAACACUUGAUGCUCUUUCUUGAUUUCUACCUUCGCCAAUUUCAGCAUUGCGAAGAGCUCGAGAAUUGUUUUUGUCAUCCCUUGCAUAUUAUAGUUCAUCACAAAGUUCUAGUAGCUUGGUGAUAGUGACUAGAGAACUCUGUCGAUCACUAUCUUAUUUGGAAGAUUAACUCCCACUUGAUUCAAGCGAUUGUAGUACCCAGACAUUGUGAGUACAUGCUCACUGGCUGAGCUAUUCUCCUCCAUCUUGUAGGAAAUGUACUUGUCAGAGGUCUCAUACCUCUCGACAUGGGCAUGAGUCUGAAAUACCAAUUUCAGCUCUUGGAACAUCUCAUAUCCUCUGUGUCGUUCAAAACAUUUUUGAAGUCCCAGUUCUAAGUAGUCAUCAUAUCGAGCUUAAUUGCCAAACGUUCAAAAUGUCUGCAUCUGCUCCUGCAAUAAAUAUGUCACCUAGCGGUGCAUCAAGGACAUAAUUCUUGAGCACUACGUUGGUUUUCCCUUGAAGAGGAAAGGGUGAUGCAGCAAAGUAGCGCAAGUAUUUCCCUCAGUUUUUGAGAACCAAGGUAUCAAUCCAGUAGGAGGCUCAACGCAAAUCCCUCGUACCUACACAAACAAACAAGAACCUCGCAACCAACGCAAUAAAGGGGUUGUUAAUCCCUUCACUGUAACUUGCGAAAGUGAGAUCUCAUAGAGAUAAUAAGAUAAGAUAUUUUUUUUGGUAUUUUUAUGACAUAUAUUGAAAAGUAAAGAUUGCAAAUAAAGUAGAUCGGAAACUUUUAUGAUAAAAGAUAGACCCGGGGGCCAUAGGUUUCACUAGUGGCUUCUCUCAAGAUAGCAUAAGUAUUACGGUGGGUGAACAAAUUACUGUCGAGCAAUUGAUAGAAAACUGCAUAGUUAUAAGAAUAUCUAGGCAUGAUCAUGUAUAUAGGCAUCACGUCCGCGACAAGUAGAUCGAAACGAUUCUGCAUCUACUUCUAUUACUCCACACAUUGACCGACUCCUGCAUGCAUAUAGAGUAUUUAGUUCAUGAAGAACAGAGUAAUGCAUUAAGAAACAUGACAUGAUGUAGAGGGAUAAACUCAAGCAAUAUGAUAUAAACCCCAUCUUUUUAUCCUCGAUGGCAACAAUACAAUACGUGCCUUGCUGCCCCUGCUGUCACUGGGAAAGGACACCACAAGAUCGAACCCAAAGCUAAGCACUUCUCCCAUUGCAAGAAUGAUCAAUCUAGUAGGCCAAACCAAACUGAAAAUUCGAAGAGACUUGCAAAGAUAACCAAUCAUACAUAAAAGAAUUCAGAGGAGAUUCAAAUGUUUCCCACAGAUAAACCUGAUCAUAAACCCACAAUUCAUCGGAUUUCGACAAACACACCGCAAAAAAGAGUUACAUCGAAUGGAUCUCCAAGAAUAUCGAGGGGAACUUUGUAUUGAGAUUCAAAGAGAGAGAAGAAGCCAUCUAGAUAAUAACUAUGGACCCGAAGGUCUGUGGUAAACUACUCACAACUCAUCGGAGAGGCUAUGGUGUUGAUGUAGAAGCCCUCCAUGGUCGAUCCCCCUCCGUCGGAGCACCGGCGAAGGCUCCAAGAUGGGAUCUCGCGGAUACAGAAGGUUACGGCAGUGGAAAUAGUUUUUCGUGGUGCCCUUGGAUGUUUUCAGGGUACGUGGAUAUAUAUAGGCGAAGGAGGUAGGUCAGGGGAGCCACGAGGGGCCCACAAGGGUGGGGGGCACACCCUCCUGCCUUGUGGCCGCCUUGGCUGCUUCUUGACGUCCACUCCAAGUCUCAUGAAUUGUGUUCGUUCCAAAAAGAUUGCUCCCGAAGGUUUCAUUCCGUUUGGACUCCGUUUGAUAUUCCUUUUCUGUGAAACACUGAAAUAGGCAAAAAAAACAGCAAUUUGGGCUGGGCCUCCGGUUAGUAGGUUAGUCCCAAAAGAGAUGUAAAAGUGUAAAGUAAAGUCCAUAAACAUAUAAAACGGGUAAUAUAAUAGCAUGGAACAAUCAAAAAUUAUAGAUACGUUGGAGACGUUUCAAGCAUCCCCAAGCUUAAUUCCUGCUCGUCCUCGAGUAGGUAAAUGAUAAAAACAGAGUUUUUGAUGUGGAAUGCUACCUAGCAUAUUUCCCAAUGUAAUUUUUCUUUAUUGUGGAAUGAAUGUUCAGAUCCAAAUGAUUCAAAAUAAAAGUUCAUAUUGACAUAAGAAAUAGUAAUACUUCAAGCAUACUAACAAAGCAAUCAUGUCUUCUCAAAAUAACAUGGCUAAAUAAAGUUUAUCCCUACAAAAUCAUAUAGUUAGGCUAUGUUUCAUUUUCAUCACACAAAAUACUCCCAUCAAGCACAACCCCGGUUUCAUCCAAGCAAUUGGUUCAUAAUUUUUAACGCGCUUCAGCUUUUUUUCAACUCCCACGCAAUACAUGAGCGUGAGCCAUGGAUAUAACACUAUGGGUGGAAUAGAAUAUGAUAAUGGAGGUUGUGUGGAGAAGACAAAAAAGGAGAAAGUCUCAUAUUGACGAGGCUAAUCAAUGGGCUAUGUAGAUGCCCAUAAAUUGAUGUCAACAUGAGGAGUAGGGAUUGCCAUGCAACGGAUGCACUAGAGCUAUAAAUGUAUGAAAGCUCAACAAAAGAAACUAAGUGGGUGUGCAUCCAACUUGCUUGCUCACAAAGACCUAGGCCAUUUUGAGGAAGGCCAUCAUUGGAAUAUACAAGCCAAGUUCUAUAAUGAAAAAUUCCCACUAGUAUAUGAAAGUGACAACAUAAGAGACUUUCUACCAUGAAGACCAUGGUGCUAAUUUGAAGCACAAGUGUGGAAAAGGACAGUAACAUUGCCCCCCUUUUCUGGGCUUUUUUAUUUGGCCUUUCUUUUUUUCAUAAGGGACAAUGCUAUAAUAAUGAUGAUCAUCAAACUUCUAUUUAUUUACAACUCAAAAAUUACAACUCAAAACUAGAACAAGAUAUGACUCUAUAUGAAUGCCUCCGGUGGUGUACCGGGAUGGGCAAUGAAUCAAGAGCGACAUGUAUGAAAAAUUAUGCAUGGUGGCUUUGCCACAAAUACGAUGUCAACUACAUGAUCAUGCAAGGCAAUAUGACAAUGAUGAUGCGUGUCAUGAUAAACAGAACGGUGGAAAGUUGCAUGGCAAUAUAUCUCGGAAUGGCUAUGGAAAUGCCAUAAUAGGUAGGUAUGGUGGCUGUUUUGAGGAAGAUAUAAGUAGGUUUAUGUGUGAUAGAGUGUAUCGUAUCACGGGGUUUGGAUGCACCAACGAAGUUUGGACCAACUCUCAAGGUGAGAAAGGGCAAUGCACGGUACCGAAGAGGCUAGCAAUGGUGGAAAGGUAAGAGUGCGUAUAAUCCAUGGACUCACAUUAGUCAUAGAGAACUCAUAUACUUAUUGCAAAA
This 36087-nucleotide long non-coding RNA is filed under the name Triticum aestivum (bread wheat). Its description in RNAcentral is "long non-coding RNA (TAES_LNC012200)". The record is from RNAcentral. Lineage: Eukaryota; Viridiplantae; Streptophyta; Magnoliopsida; Poales; Poaceae.